AACGAACGCUGGCGGCAUGCCUAACACAUGCAAGUCGAACGAGACCGUCGGGUCCAGGGGCGCACGGGUGCGUAACGCGAGGGAACCUGCACUUAGGGUCGGAAUAACCACCCGAGAGGGGUGCCAAUACCGGACAAUGGCUACAGCCCAAAGAUUUAUCGCCCUUGGAUGGGCGCGCGUUGGAUUAGCUAGAUGGUAUGGUUAAAGCAUAGCAAGGCGACGAUCCAGAGCUUGUCUGAGAGGAAGAGCCGCCACACCUGGGCUGAGAAGCGGCCCAGACUCCUACGCGAAGCAGGAGUGGGUGAUGGUGCACAGUGGACGAAAGCAUGAACGAUCUAUGACGCGUGAGUGAUGUAGUUCUUAGGGUUGUAAAGCUCUUUUACCCGUGAUGAUAAUGACAGUACCGGAAGAAUAAGCUCCGGCUAACUCCGUG
This 433-nucleotide ribosomal RNA is filed under the name uncultured bacterium. RNAcentral describes it as "partial 16S ribosomal RNA". It matches the Rfam family "Bacterial small subunit ribosomal RNA", at positions 29 to 507 of the family's 1533-position model. The record is from RNAcentral.